RNAcentral lists this ribosomal RNA (442 nucleotides) under uncultured bacterium. Its description in RNAcentral is "bacterial SSU rRNA". It matches the Rfam family "Bacterial small subunit ribosomal RNA", at positions 338 to 795 of the family's 1533-position model. The record is from RNAcentral.
CCUANGGGGGGCUGCAGUCGAGAAUAUUCGACAAUGGGCGAAAGCCUGAUCGAGCGACGCCGCGUGCAGGAUGAAGUGCUUCGGUAUGUAAACUGCUUUUGUGAACCAGAAAGUUUAUUGAUCGGUUCAAGAAUAAGAGGUUGCUAAACUCGUGCCAGCAGCAGCGGUAAUACGAGUGCCUCGAGCGUUAUCCGGAAUCAUUGGGCGUAAAGGGUGUGCAGGUGGUCUUAUUAGUCUUUUGUUAAAUUCUUCGGCUUAACCGGGGACGUGCAAGGGAAACGGUAAGACUAGAGGAUGCGAGAGGUUUACGGAACUCAUAGUGUAGCGGUGAAAUGCGUUGAUAUUAUGGGGAACACCAAAUGCGAAGGCAGUAAACUGGAGCACUCCUGACAUUGAAACACGAAAGCGUGGGUAGCGAAUGGGAUUAGAUACCCCUNUANUC